Molecule: ribosomal RNA, 1650 nt
Filed under: Triticum aestivum (bread wheat)
Lineage: Eukaryota; Viridiplantae; Streptophyta; Magnoliopsida; Poales; Poaceae
Description: partial small subunit ribosomal RNA
Source: RNAcentral
AUUGACGGUCGCGCACCGCGUGGCGUUGUGUGGCGUGCUUGGCUGGAGGUUUAGGGCCUAAGGGGUCCCCAGGUAGGCGCUUUUCUGGGGUGUCGGCCCUCCCUCCUCGGGUAGGGCAGGGCUUGGUUAGUGUGGGGAGCCGCCGCCGCGCCUGGCGGCGCGGCCGGUACCGCCUGCGGCAGUUCGUCGGCGAGGAGGUGGUGGUCGGGAUGGGGAUGCGCAUGGGCAGAAUGCGGCGCAGCCGGAGCAGGGGGCGCGAGGGGAGGCACGGGGUGAGGCCCUGGCGGUGGGGGUGGGGGCCCCCGCCCCCGCCCCCGCGCCGGAGGAGGAAGCGGCCCCCGGCGGUGCCGGAGGCACGUCUGCGAGCUCCAGCUGUUCCGGUGGUACUACGCGGCGACGCUCGAGGGGCGGGCGCUGGAGGCGGAGGAGCUGGGCGAGAAGCAGAUGGGGAGGUGGCAGGAGCCGGCCCUCGCGCGGUAGCAGCAGUUGGAGCUCGUCUAGGCGACGCAGUAGUGGCGGCUGCUCCACGAGGAGGAAUUGAGGGAGCUGUCGAUGCAGAAGGUCAUGCGGCGGCUCGACGUCGCGGCGGAGGAGGUCGCGCGGCUCCCGCUGCUCGAGGGGAAGCUCAAGGCGCGGGAGCUCGAGCGGGAGCUCCGGCGGACGAGGAAGGAGCUGCGGGUCCGUCGUCUUAACCUUUAACUUCGUAUAGGGAAUGACCUACUCGAUUGUAGUUUUUAAUCAUGAGAUUUAGACCUUGCACAAGCCGCCGAUUUUUCAUCUGAUCAACGAGACUGGUCUUCUCAGGUCUUCCAGUCCCUACUUUAUCUUGUUGACUACCUACUACUACCUCUAUACCGACUCUACAUAGAGUGGCUCUUUUUCUACUCCUACCUUAGUAGUAGACACAAACCACUAGUCAGCAACCGCUGGAAGUUGCGUCGUCGACGACCCUGAAGUCAAAGUCGAGGGCACAGAGGUCAGAGCAGUGGUUGUCUUAGUGCCUUUAACCUCUUUUGGAUGUCGAACACAUCUUCAUCUGUACUAUCACAUUUCUCGAGUCUAUUGUGUCACUGACUUGUAUAACUCCUCGAACUUUACAAUGAUCUUCGUAUAAAACAUCAGUAGCUGUCGUGAGAAUUGUUCGACUGGAGCGACUUCCUCAUAUAACUACUGUGGCUUCUAAAAUAGUUGUAAGUCGACCUGUUGCACGCCUUAGUCGACUAGGUCAAGCUCGAAAACGAUUGUUGGCGGUGUAAACAGCAGCGGUAAAAGCCUCACCAGCGCCCACAAAAGCCCUACUUGAAGCUCUGGCUGCAAAAGUUGUAGGUCUUGCGCAAGGUCACCCACGACUAGUAAUGACCUCACCAACCGCGAAAGCAGAAGACGAAGAAGCAGACCAAGAAGUUCAUGUUCUCUGACUACGGGGACAUCUAUAUUCGAGGGCAGUAAUACGCCUGAGUUGGAAGAUAAGAGACAAUUCCAUGAACUGGUUUUUCUGGACUUAGGUACAUUUAGUUGUAAAAAAGUCCCCGAACGGCACAUGGAUGAUGUUUUAGUUUACUUUUGUAUAUUAAAAAGGAAUGAGAAGACAUUUACCCAAUAAUAUCUUUAUCAAGAGUUCAGAAUUGGUAGGUAGGAAGGUUUAUAAAA